GUGGACGAAAGGUGAUUCUCGAUAUUUGUUGUUAAAUGCUAUACAAUUCUGCAAUGGAAUCAUAACCUUUACCCUAGCCAUUCUAGUGGCAAAAACAAGCUGCAACAACACCAUGUGCAACAAGAGAUGACUAGGACGGAUGGCUCUCGACCUUCGCCUCUCCCGAGUCCGUACGGGAGUUGCAGCGAUGGGACAAGACUGUAACUACCAUUGGAUACCACAAAAUUGGGGAGAAAAAGGGGAAGAAAACUGUUACAUAGGACUUCUGCACCUGCCAGUGGAGCUGCCCACUUUUGGAAAAAUGAACCAAAACACACCUCCGGGCUGUGUUAGGGGCUAUUUGACCAAGGAGAGUGAUGAGUGCUGCAUCAGAUGACCUGGCCUCCACUAUCACCCAACCUCAAACCAAUUGAGAUGGUUGGACCACAGAGGGAAGAAAAAGCAGCCAACAAGUGUUCAGCAUGUGGGAACUUCAGACUGUUGGAAAAGCAUUCCAGGUGAAGCUGGUUGAGAGAAUGUCAAGCGUGUGCAAAGCUAUCAUCAAGGUAAAGGGUGGCUACUUUGAAGAAUCUCAAAUAUAACAUUUAUUUUGAUUUGUUUAACACUCUUUUGGUUACUACGUGAUUCUAUAUGUGUUAUUUCAUAGUUUUGAUGUCUUCACUAUUAUUCUACAAUGUAGAAAAUAGUCAAAAUAAAAAACAUGGAAUGAGUAGUUGUCCAAACUUUUGACUG
Molecule: long non-coding RNA, 732 nt
Organism: Oncorhynchus keta (chum salmon)
Lineage: Eukaryota; Metazoa; Chordata; Actinopteri; Salmoniformes; Salmonidae
Exons: 4
Source: RefSeq, a predicted model, not a curated record